AAUCUAUUUUUGUAUAGAUUCUAUAACUUAUUGUAGAAAAAUCUAUAAAAAACUUUAAAAAAUAUCCUAAAAAUCUUGAUACUAGUUAAAAAUACCACUUGUCUUUUCACCAUCAAAAAUGGGCAUGGCAUAUAUAGCAAAAGAUGAUCUUUCUUUUGCCACAUGCAUCAAAGUUUUUAUACCUAUUAAUAGGAAUUUUCAUGUAUUAGACUAAUAUAUUUCUAUUUAAUUAAUGAAAUUUUGGAUUAAACUAUAAGAAAAAUCAAGGUUAUAAAAAAUCCAAUCUAUCUAAGAAUUAUGCUUUUCUAACCAUGAUAAUCCUAAAAUAAUUAAAUUAGAGGGAGAUCUUAUCAUUUUAAAUAUUGCUAGUCUAUUAUGAUCUUUAAUUAGUACAUAUAAAAGAAUAAUCUUAUGGAUAAUAUCUCCAAAAGAUAACAAAUGACCAUCUAUGACUUCUAUUUAUAUAAAUUUAGUCUUCUUUACUAAAAAUAUUUCUUAUUUUUUGACAAAGUCUUUGUUUAUAAAAUAAGCUGAGACUCUUCAAUCUAUUAAGAUAAAGAUUUUGUGAUUUUUAGGUCCUAAAUAUACAUCUAUUAUAAAUCAAGGUGAAGAAUUUGAAAAAAAAUAAGAUCUUUAUUAGAUAUCGUAUAUGAUUUUUGCAGCAAGAUUCUUAUUGUAGCUAAAAAAAAUUAUUUUUUGAUACAUUGUCUUUUUUGGCAACCAUGCUCCUUAUUUUUUUAUUGCAUUUUUUUUAAGGAUAAUAUUGAGUAAUGUGUUUAGUUUUUCUAUAAUACAGGUACAAACCUUCUUAAUAAUGUCAAGUCUUUUCUUAUACAAUGAAAAAUUUAAAAUAUAUUAUAUCAAUUUGUAUUGAUUCUAACCUUAAAAAAUAAGUUUUUAAAAUCUUAAGAGCUAUCAUUAUUGCUUAAUUUUUUCCUCUCCAUCCAAAUAUUUAUUCUUGUUUCUUUUCAAAUAGUUGAUUAUUGCAUAAAAUAGCUUCAGCAAUAAAUUAUUUUAAAGAAUCUAUUUUUGGUAUUAUUAAUAAAAAAAUAUUUUAAAUUAUCCUUUAAUCCAUAUUAAAAUUGAUUAUUAAAGGCUUUAUCAUUUUAGUCCAUAUUACAAAUAAGAUUUUAGAAUUUAGCAAUAUAUAUGGUGGCUAAUCAUGAUCCUUAUUGUAAAGAUAAGACCUUGGUUUCUACUAAUCUUUUUUAAUUACUUUCUUUAAAUAUAGUUGUAAAUACUUUUAAAACCAAAUUCAAAUUAUAAAAGAGAAAUGAAUCAUUUUCUAUCAAAGAUAUAAGUUAAAAAAAAAAAAAAAAUACUUCCAAAUAGAAGUGUGCCUAUAAACUCAACUUAAAUAAAUCCAUCAAGAUAUUGGAAAGGAUACAAUCUUAGAUAGACCUUGAUUUAUUGCAAAUUUUAAUUUUGUUCUAUCAAACUUCUUGAGCAUAUUAAUCAAUUUUUCUUUUAUGGUUAUAAAAUCAAAAAAUUUUAGAUUUGAUUGUGAGGUUGAUCUAUUUGCUUCUUUCAACUAUACAACUUUUUGGAGUAGACUUUGGACUUCUUCUACAGACAUAGGAAUAGUGCUUUUAUGAUUUAUAUUAGUAAUGCAUAAAAUUUCUAUUCUAAAAAUAUUAAAAAGCUCAUGAAGAUAUGUAAUAGUUAUAAAUCUAUUCUCACUUCUAUUAAGUAUAGCAUCUAUAAUUUUUACUUCUAUUUCAAAAAACUUAAUAAAUCUACAAGUCAAAUUAAAAGAGGAUAAUCUAUAACUUCCAAUAUCAAAUAAAAAUUUCUACAAAGAAGGAUAAUUUACUUUCUUUAAGAAAAAAUUAGUAUUAGAAAAAUAGACUUAAUUUGCAAGGUAAGUUUCUUAUAAGUGUACUACAUCAUUAGCUUGUAGUAUAAGCUACCAAUAUAUAUAACACAAGAUUAACUUAUUGACUAAAUUUUUAACCUACUAUUUAUAUAUAUAAAGUUAAAAUUAUAUCUAUAUAGCUUCUAAGAAGCUUCUUUAUAAGAUAUUUUCAAAUUAAUCUAUUUUUAUUUAUUUCUAUUUACUUAUAUUAUCUAUAUUCUAUAGCUAUAUUAGUGACAUCUAUAUCUUUUUCAAUUUUUUCUUGAGGAAUCACUGACUCAUUAAGCUAUUCAUCUUUGUUAUCAAAAAAAAUCAUAACUUGACUAAAAAUCAUCUUUUUUUCUUCAAGUAGUAAAAUUUCAUAUUUUUUAUCACAUCUAAAUAUCCAAAAAAAAUACACUUUGCUUUUCUAUCAAGUUUUUGAUACCUUUUUUUUCAUAUGUGAUAUCAAGUAGGAUAAACAAAAUAGUGAGUAUUUUGAAGAUGAAAUAUUUUACUAUAAAAAACUUUAUAUAAUAUCUUAUUAUUAAGUCUUGCAAGUAUAAGGCAAUUCCAAAUCUUAUAAGAAAAAUAUACUUGGUUUUUAGUUUGAAGAAAUGCAAAGAUACAAUAAUUGGAGUAUUUAUUAAUCUAUACAAUUAACCAUUUGGUGCCAUCAAAACUAGUUAUAUUGAAAUAACCCUGUUGAUGAACUAUUAUAUCUAAAAUACUAUUAACAUACUUAUGCUUGUCUAAAAAAUAUUGCCUAUGGAUCUUAUUAAUAAUGCUUGAUUUAUAUGUAGGUAUUUUAUCUUUUUCACCUUUUAUUUUUAAUUUUUCAAUACUAUACAUUUGCUUUAUCUCUUAUAUUAUAUGUAUUAAAGCAUGUACUAAUGCUUGAUCCUAUUCAAUAAGUAUACAAUUCAAAAUAGAUGAACUCAUAACUACAUCAAUUUUUUCAAUUUUACAAUGCAUAAAAUAAGCUUUAUUGGCUAAUGUACCUUGUAUGAAUAAGUCAUCUAAAAAAAGAAUUCAAUCCAUUCCAUUGACAUUCGAAUUGAAUUUGCAACUUUUCUUGUAUAAGAUUAUAUUUUAUAAUAGAGUAUCACAUGCUCAAAGCACUAAAUUUAUGUCCUUCACAACUACAAAAAUAUAUUUUUUUGUGGAAUUUAAAAUUAUAAGAUAUAUUUUAUUUGAGUCUUGUGAUAUACUAAUGCCACUAUUGUAGCCUUAAAAUUAAAUAUUUAUAUUUUUAUUAAAAUUAAGAAACUUACUCCAAUCUUCUUGGAUAUAUACAUCUAUUAUAAUAUUAAUACAAACAUAAUAACAUUACAAAAAUAAAAAUAUAAUUUUUGUUUUUGAAUUAAAUGAUGCUUCUUAGAUUGAGAGAAUAAUAGCAACUUCAACAUUUAUUAUACCAUUGUUGAUUGUUCUAAGACGCUUUGCAUCACCUUGUCAAUGCUUCUUAUGUCUAUAAGUCCUACAAGUGCUUCUAAACUCAUCAAUCUUGAGCUUCUAUUUUUGCCAUGGAUGGUACUUCAUCAAGACUUAUUUCUUUUCUAUAUGCAUUGUUAAAGUAAAAAAUAAAGAAUUAAUAUUUUUCUUUCUUUGCAUCUCCUCUUCAAAAAUUAUAGAUCCUACUAUUUUUUUGAGAUCUUUUCUUUUUUUUCAAUGCAAUUGAUUAAACAAGUCAAUUCCAAAAUUUUGGUAAUACAAUAAGUAUAAGAAAUGUCAUGCUUUAUUUAUCUAUUUCACUAUUGGAUUCAAUAUCUUAAUUUUUAAGAUCAAAAAUCUCUCUAAGAAAAGUCUUUAUAGAUUUUUCAUUAAUAUAUCAAAGAUUGUGAAGUUUCUUUAUCAAAAAUAUCUUAGUAAUAAUUCGUGAGGAUUUUUGAAUCUUAGCUAAAAUAUCCCAUAUCUUCUUUGCAACUUUAUAUUUGAAUAUUUGAGUUAAUUACAAAGGCUUGAUAUUGAAGGCAAUCAAUACUUCUGCUUCCUUUUUGCUUGAUUUCUAUUUUAAUUUUUUAUCAAUAUGUAUAGAAAAUUCUAAUGUCCUAUGUACAUGCAUAUAGAGCUUACAAAUGUGUAUCAAAUGCUUAAUAAUAAAUUUCCAUGAGCCAUAUUUUUUUUUAUCUAUUUGAUCAAUGUAAUAAUCUAUUGAAGAUGAUCUAUUGAAGAUAAUGCCAUUGCCAAAAAUAAUCAAUGUUAUAGCAACAAAUAAUAAAAUUAUUAAAUAAUAAUAAAUCUUAUAGAAAUUAUAAAAAAAUAAUCAACAAAUAUUCUACAAAAUAUAAUAUUAGAAAAUAGAAGUAUUAAGCUAAGAUGAAGAAAAAAUAGCUCUUUUUUUAACACUAGUAAUAGAUUAAUUAUAGUUGAAAUCAAGAAUAGUAGCAUCAAAAUAAUGCUCCAAUAGCAAGGCUUUAAUGGUGUUAAGACUCUGGAAAUAGCAAUGGUUUAAUAAUAGUGAGGCUUUGAUAAAAAUUUAUUUAUAGGAAAAUUUCAUCAAAUAAAUUUAUUCACAAAAUUCAUCUAAUUUUUUUAUUCAAAAAAUUUUAUUUAUAGAAGGUGUUUAUCAAAGGUUCUAAUAUCAUGUUACAAAAAAUGGAUCUACAUUCAUGUUGCAAAUAAGAAUAUGCAAGAACAAAGAAAGGUGGUACUUUGUAGAUCUUUGUUAUGUAUUAAAUAAGUCUUAGCUUUUAUUACAACUAAUAUUUAAUAAAUUCUUAUAUUGAAAAUUCAUGUCAAGGAUAUGAAUCUUGAAAAAAGAAAAUCUUCAAUACCCUCUUGUGUCAUUGAAGAGAACUAAAAAGUCACUCAAAAAGUGAUGAAAUAUUAAACUAGAAUAGCCAUUGUUAAAAAUAAAAAUACUAGAAAGUCUUGAAACAAGACUAAGAACUAGAAAGGCAUUGAUAAGAGUGAAGAAGGUUUCACUCUUGCUUCCAUGUAUACUCUUAACUAAAACCUGUAUAGCAAUGUUGUAUAGGACCUCCAAAACAUGUUGACUUUGUUAGCCACAUGUCUUAACUUACAAGACAAGUUUUUUAUAUAUAUAUUACAUAGUUAGCUUGUUCUAUAAGCUACUACAUGAAGUUAACUUGUUCCACAAGCUACCAAUACGUGGUUAAUUUUCUCAUCAAGUUUCUAACCUACAAACACAUCUGAAGUCAAAUCCACAUGUAGAUAGCUUCUAAAAAGCUUCUUUAGAAGACUUUAUGAAAUUAAUUCAUAUUUAUCUACUUCUACUUAAUCAUAUAAGUAACUAUUGGAAUAAAUAUAUAUGGCCAUAACAUUAUCCUCUCCUCUAGGGACAAGUUCCACCAAGAGUGGUCAUCAUUAUUUAUGGAUCUUUAUAAUUCUUCAUCUUGGUUUUGAUGGAUGUUGUUGUCAAGGACAAAGACUUGAUGAGGAAAAAUAUACACCAAAAGGCUAUCUCGAUAUAAUAAGUCAAAAUAUAAACAAAUAGGUAUAUUAAAAGGAAACUGGAAUGGCUAUUGCCACAAGACAAGAAACUAAAGACUCUUGAACCUGGACUAGAAGCAAGAAAGGAGUUGACAAGAGUGAAGAGGGCUUCACUCUUGCCUCUAUAUAUAUUAUCUAACUAGAAGCCAUGUGGCAAUGUUCUAUAAGACCUCCAAUAUAUGUUGACUUUCUAGGCCACAUGCCUUUGCUUGCAAGGCAAGUUUUCUAUAGAUGGACCACGUAGUUAGCUUGUUCUUUAAGCUUCCAACAUGCGUGGCACAUGGCUAACUUGUUGACCAAGUUUCUAACCUAAAAGUCAACUAUAGACUCCUAUAAAGUCAAAGCAGCGUCUAUGAAGCUUCUAAGAAGCUUCUCUAGAAGAUAUUACACAAUUAACCUACUUUUACAUACUUUUAUCUAUUCAUAUAGGUAAUUAUAUGUAUGUCCGUGACAUUACCCCCCCUUCUAGGGACGAGUUCCACGAGGAGCGGUGAUUAUAUAUUGAGAAAAUCUAAUAUGCGGCGAAUUGUAUUUGCCACAUACUCUGAUCUUUGUUCUCUUCGAAGAUAGUUGAUGGAUCCUCUUAGCCAUCGAUAGUGUCCCAUUCCAGGGCGAGAAGACCACCCUGUUAUUUGAUCACUGUUGAGGCCUUCAUAACUUCCUCAAUCUUGUCUCUUUAAUAAGAGAGGUUUUCAUCUUGGUUUUGAUGGAUGUCGUUGAUGAAAAACUUUGACUUUAGCUGAUGCAUUUGCUAGAUUCCUGGAUGGCUCCCAUGUGCGCUCACUAAUAUCAUAUCCGCACCAAUGAACAAGAUAUUCCAGCUUAUUUCGGCGCCGCCUUGAGUCUAAUAUCUCUUCCACCUCAAAUUCUUCAUUAUUAUCUACUUCUAUAGGAGGCGGUGGCAUUUGUCUUCUUCCUUGUAUAUCCACUGUCUUAUAUGAUUCAAGAAGAGACACGUGGAAUAUAGGAUGGAUCUUCAUUGACUCCGGUAGAUGUAACCGAUAUGCAACUGGAUUGAUCUGUUCAGAAACAGAAAAGGGGCCAAGCCUACGAUAGUCCAAUUUGUCACAAGGUCGAGUGGUCUUGAUAUUGCGACGAAGUAGCCAUACCUUAUCACCCACGUUGAGUUGUGGUUGCUCUUUACGAUAUACAUCUGCAUUUAUCUUUUGUCGUUCUUGAGCUUUCUUCAACUGCGCCUUCAUUAUUGCAUGUAACUCUGACAACCGAUUUGCCAUAUCUUCUGCUGCAGGAUUAUCAACUUUUGAAAAAUCAAAAGUAUCAAGUCGUGGAUGAUAGCCAUAAUUGGCAAAGAAAGGUGUUUGUUGCGUGGAAGAAUGUACCGUAUUAUUAUAAGCAAACUCUGCCAAUGGCAGAAGGUUUGUCCAAUCAUCUUGUUGGUAGUUGAUGGUACACCUUAAAUACUGUUCCAAGACUUGGUUUACGCGCUCUGUUUGUCCAUCAGUUUGAGGAUGGAAAGCUGAAGAUAGCUUUAUGUCCACUUUUAAAAUCUUGAAAAGAGUCCUCCAGAAUCUCGACACAAAUUGAGUUUCCCUAUCCGAUAUGAUAUCUUUAGGUAAUCCAUGAUAGCGAUAGAUAUUAUCAAUGAAAAGCUUAGCUGUUUCUUCACCUGUGAUAGAUUUUGUACAUGGCAUAAAAUGUGCCAUCUUGGUGAAACGAUCUACUAUCACAAAUAUAGAAUCAUAAGAUCUUGAGUUUGGAAGAUCUGUGAUGAAAUCCAUAGAAACAGAAGACCAUGGUUGUUCUGGUAUAGGUAAUGGCUGAAGAAGUCCAUAAGGUCGAUGUCGAGGAAUUUUUGAUCUUGAACAAAUAUCACAUGAUUGUACAAAGUCUUUGACUGACUUCCACAUUUGUGGCCACCAAAAAUCUCUUGAUAUGAGUUCCAGAGUCUUAUUAUAUCCAAAGUGCCCUGCUGCUGGAAAGUCAUGACGUGCUUGAAGAACACGCAAACGUGCUUUUCCUUCUGGAACAUAUAGGCGUCCUUCAAAAUAUAAUAGAUUAUUCUUGAACUCAAACUUAGAAGAAUCAUGAGACUUGGAAGAAUUAUUCUCGAUAUCAUGAACAAGAGGGUCUGAGGACAUACUGGACUGGAUUUGCUUGAGAAAAGUUGAAUCAACAGUCAAUGUUGAUUUCACUGCUCGGAGAUGAAAUUGCUCCGGUUUCAAGAGGACCGUUCUUUGUUGCUCAAAAGCUGCAUCUCCUUCUUUUGGUGCAAAAUAAGAACGUCUAGACAGGGCAUCGGACAAACCUUGUUGUUUUCCUGGCCGAUAAGUGAUAAUGAAGUCGAAUCUUGACAAAGACAUACUCCAACGAGCUUGACGACGAUUCAACACGCGUGCUGACAUGAAAUACUCGAGGUUCUUGUGAUCUGUAUACACAGUGACUGGAUUAGAAGCACCUUCUAGAUAAUGACGCCAUUCUUGAAAGGAAUCCACGAUUGCAAGAAGUUCUUUAUCGUGGAUUUCAUAAUUGAUCUCGGCUGCUGAGAAUUUUCUUGAAUGAAAAGCUAUCGGAUGAAGUUUGUCAUCUGUUCCCAUUUGUGAUAAAACUGCACCCAAGGCAAAAUCCGAUGCGUCUGUUUCCAUAAAAAAUGCCUUGGAAAAAUCAACACGAUAUAAGACUGGUGCAGAGACAAACGAUGUCUUCAAGGCUUCAAAUGCUGCUUCCGCUUCUUGAUUCCAUUGAAAUUUAUCUUUACUAGUCAAGCGUGUAAGUGGAGCUGUAACUCGUGAGAAGUCUUUGAUGAAGAUCCGAUAGUAAUUGGCAAAUCCCAAGAAACAUUGGACAUCUCUCACAGUCUUUGGAAUCUUCCAAUCCAUGAUUGUUUGGACUUUCUUAGAAUCCAUCAUAAGACCAUCAUUUGAAAUGAUGUAUCCUAAAAAGUCAACUUGAGUAGUGUGAAAUACACACUUUUCCAUCUUGGCGUACAAUCCUGCAUCUCUGAGUUUUUGUAAUACUUGACGAACAUGUAUUUCAUGUUCUUCAACAUUCUUAGAAUAAAUCAGGAUAUCGUCUAGGUAGCAGACGACAAAAUUGUCUAAGAAUUCACGAAAUACAUCAUUCAUGAGAUGUUGAAAAGCAGUUGGUGCAUUCGUGAGUCCAAAAGGCAUGACAUUAUAUUCAAAAUGCCCGUACCUGGUUCGAAACGCAGUCUUCCAUUCAUCUCCUUCUUUGAUCCGUACUAGAUUAUAUGCUCCUCUUAGAUCUAUUUUUGUAUAGAUCUUAGCUUGAUUUAACUGGUCAAGGAGUCCUGAUAUCAAAGGUAAUGGAUACCUGUUCUUGAUUGUGAUCUUGUUGAGUCCUCGAUAGUCAACACACAUUCGUAAAGAUCCAUCUUUUUUCUUUACGAAUAAAAUUGGAGCUCCUGCUGGAGAUUUUGAAUGGCGUAUGAAAUUCUUCGCUAAAUUCUCGUCAAUAUAUGUCUUGAGUUCAGCCAACUCAUCUUGCGAUAAACUGUAAAUUGGUCCAAAUGGUGGCUGAGUUCCUUCCUUGAGAUCGAUUGAACAAUCGUAUGGGCGAUGCUCAGGAAGAAUAUCUGCAUUCUUUUUCUCAAAAACGUCUUGAUAAUCCUGAUAUUGACUUGGAAUGCCACUUGAAGUCUUUACGCUUUCAGAAAUAGGUGCAGCAUAAAUAGCAAAAGUUGAUCCUUCUUUUGCUGCGUGUAUAAAUGCUUUUGCACCUAUAAGUGCGGGUUUUACUAUACUAGACUCAUGGUUUUUUACUUGAUUAAUAGAACUGUUACUAAUGCUCCGAGGAAAAUCAAGUUUACGAGAAAUCCAAUCUAUUCGAGGAUUAUACUUUUCUAACCAUGAUAAGCCUAAAAUUACUGGAUUAGAGGGAGAUCUAAUUAUAUUAAAAAUUACGCAACUACUAUGACCAUUUAUUACUACAUCUACAGGAAGUGUUUCGUGAGUUACAUCUCCAGAAGACAACGGACGACCAUCUAUGACUUCUACGUGUACAGGUUUAGUUUUUUGUAUUAAUGAUAUUCUAUGACAUCUAGCAAAUUCUUCAUCUAAAAAACAAGCUGAGGCUCCUGAAUCUAUCAAGGCAGAGGCUUUGUAAUUAUUAGGUCCUAAACGCACAUCUAUUAUAAAACAAAGAGAUGGUUUUGAGGAGAGGAUAGGACCUUUAUUAGAAGUUGUACAAGAUUCCAGCCGCACGGUCCCUAUUGUAGCUGGACGUACUCGUUUUUCGACAUACUGUCUUCUUUGACAGCCGUACUCCUCAUUUUGUAGUUACGUCGCUUCUUUGGACAAUGUUGAGCAGUGUGCUUAGGUUCUCCACAAUAUAAGCACAAUCCUUCUUGUCGACGACGAGACUUUUCUUGCUCAGUAAGAGGUUUGAAACGUACCGCAUCAAUUUGCAUAUCCUCUACUUCCGAAGGUAUGUGUUGAGGAGACGUCGGUGUUGCCAUUGAAUUGUAGUAACGUUGAGGCCCACUUGUGCGACUCUCGGAUCGAAAUUCAAAAAGUCGAUUGUCGCACUUCACAGCAAAGUCAAUUGCUUGACUCAAUGUUUGAGGAUCAGGUAAAUUAAGCAUCAAUUUCUUUACCUCAUAUUGUAAUCCGUAGAGAAAUUGACUCACAAGUGCGGCAUCAUCCCACUUGAUAUCAGUUGCAAGUUGUCGAAAUUGCGAAGCAUAUAAUGUUACUGAUCGAUUGCCUUGUCGCAAAAUACGGAUCUUGUUGGUUGCAACACGAAUUGCAUCAUGUUCUCCAAACAUGGAUCAAAACUCCGCCAAAAAAGCCUCCAGAUUAUCCAAUAUUGGAUCUCGUCGUUCAAGAAAAGAUGAAAACCAUGACAAUGCUGAACCUGAAAGAAGUGUACCAAUGAAUCUUACUUGUGACCCUGGAGUUGGAUAGCUCUGGGGUUGAAGUUCAAUCACUAGUUGGACCUGAUUGAUGAAUCCUCGAAACUUGGAUCUGGUACCAUCAAACUUCUCGGGCAAGGCAACUCUCGGUUCUCUAACACUCGAAGGGUGUUCCAUUCUGGGAGAAGGGACAUGGUUUGGUGCAGAUGUUGAAGCAGCCCCAAUCAUCUCUAUAUCUUCACUUCCUACCAUUCUUGUUGCUCCUUGUGGUGGUAAAUUGAGUUGAUGCAUCGCAAGCAUUAACUCCCUCAAUUGUUCUUGCAUCUGUGCCAUUGCACUCUUCAUUUCAACAAGCUCUGCCAUAGUAGCACUUAGAAAAGAGAAGAUGUCUAACAACGCUCAAAAUAAAUAGAAGAGAGGAAUUGAUAACAAAGAAAAUACUAAGAACAAUAUCAGUUUAAAAGAGGGUAAUCCGCAACUUCUAAUGCGCUUAUGUCUUAUCAAGAAAAAGGGGUAAUCCACUCUUAAUCAAGAAAAGACAAAGCUCUGAUAUUGUAAGUGUACUCUUGUCAAUCUGUCAAGGACAAAGACUCGAUGAGGAAAAAUAUACACCAAAAGGCUAUCUCGAUAUAAUAAGUCAAAAUAUAAACAAAUAGGUAUAUUAAAAGGAAACUGGAAUGGCUAUUGCCACAAGACAAGAAACUAAAGACUCUUGAACCUGGACUAGAAGCAAGAAAGGAGUUGACAAGAGUGAAGAGGGCUUCACUCUUGCCUCUAUAUAUAUUAUCUAACUAGAAGCCACGUGGCAAUGUUCUAUAAGACCUCCAAUAUAUGUUGACUUUCUAGGCCACAUGCCUUUGCUUGCAAGGCAAGUUUUCUAUGGAUGGACCACGUAGUUAGCUUGUUCUUUAAGCUUCCAACAUGCGUGGCACAUGGCUAACUUGUUGACCAAGUUUCUAACCUAAAAGUCAACUAUAGACUCCUAUAAAGUCAAAGCAGCGUCUAUGAAGCUUCUAAGAAGCUUCUCUAGAAGAUAUUAUACAAUUAACCUACUUUUACAUACUUUUAUCUAUUCAUAUAGGUAAUUAUAUAUAUGUCCGUGAUAGUUGUUGAUAAAAGACCUCAAAUUUCUUUGUUGCAUUUGCAAGAUUCUUUGUUGGCUUCUAUAUGCAUUCACUAAUAUCAUAUCUAUGCCAAUGAAGAAGAUAUUUCAAUCUAUUUUGAUGUUGCCUUGAAUUUAAGACUUCUUCCAUCUUGAACUCUUAAUUAUUAUCCACUCCUAUAGGAGGAGGUGGCAUUUGUCUUCUUUCCAAGAUAUUCACUAUCUUAUAUAGUCUAAGAAGGGACAUGUGAAAUAUAAGGUGGAUCUUUAUAGACUCUAGUAGAUGUAAUCAAUAAGCAAUAUAAUUGAUUUAUUUAUAGAUUAAAAAAAGGUCCCAACUAACGAUAGUCCAACUUAUUACAUAGACAAAUAGUCUUGAUAUUGCGAUGAAGUAAUCAUACUUUAUUAUCUAUAUUGAAUUGUAGCUACUCCUUGUAAUGUGCAUCUGCAUUAGUCUUUUGUCAUUUUUGAGCUUCUUUUAAUUGAGUCUUCAUUGUUGAAAGUAGCUCUGACAAACAAUUUGCUAAAUCUUUCGCCACAAGAUUAUCAACUUUUGAAAAGUGAAAAGUAUCAAAUCAUAGAUGAUAACUAUAAUUGGCAAAAAAAAUAUAUUUAUUGACUAGAAAAAUGUAUCAAAUUAUUGUAUGCAAAUUUUGUCAAUAGCAAAAGAGAUAUCCAAUCAUCUUGAUGAUAAUUGAUAGUACACCUCAAAUACUACUCCAGAAGUUAAUUCAUCCAUUUUGUUUGUCUAUCAGUUUGAGGAUAAAAAGUCAAAGAGAGCUUUAUAUCCACCUUUAGAAUCUUAAAUAUGAUUCUCUAAAAUCUUGAUACAAAUUGAAUCUCCCUAUCUAAUAUAAUAUCUUUUGGCAAUCCAUGAUAGCAAUAGAUAUUGUCAAUAAAAAACUUAGUUAUUUCUUCACUUGAAAUAGAUUUUGUAUAUGGUACAAAUAUAUCAUUUUGGUGAAGCAAUCUUUGGUUAUGAAUAUAGUGAUAUGAACCUGAGAAGGAAAGAUCUGUGAUAAAAUCCAUAGAAACAAAAGACCAUAGUUGUUCUAGAACUGAUAACGGUUAAAGAAGUCCAUAAGAUCGAUGGCGAGGAGUUUUGGAUCUUGAAAAAAUAUCACGUGAUUGUAUAGUCUUUGAUUGCCUUCCACAUUUGAAGCCACUAAAAAUCUCUUGAUAUUAGCUUCAAAGUCUUAUUGUAUCCUAAAUAUCUGACUGUUGAAAAAUCAUGACAAACUUGAAGGACAUGUAAUCAUGCCUCGUCUUCUAGAACAUUUAGGUGAUCUUCAAAAUAUAGUAGGUUGUUCUUGAAUUCAAAUUUUGAAGUAUCAUAGGACUUAAAAGAAGUAUUCUUAAUAUCAUGAGCAAAAGGAUCAAAGGACAUAUUUGAUUGAAUUUGCUUGAAAAAGGUUGAAUGAAUGGUCAAUGCUGAUUUUAUUGCUCAAAGAUGAAUAUGCUUAGGCUUCAAGAAAAUCAUUCUUUGUUGAUCAAAAGAUACAUCUCCUUCUUUUGGUACAAGAUAAGAAUAUUUAGAAAUGGCUUCUAAUAGACCUUCUUAUUUUUGAGGUCGAUAAAUGAUCUUGAAAUCAAAUCUUGAUAAUGACAUGCUCCAACAGACUUGGUGAUGAUUCAAAAUAUGUGCUGACAUGAAAUACUUGAGUUUCUUGUGAUAUGUAUAUAUUAUGACUGGACUUGAAGCACCUUCUAGAUAAUGAUGUCAUUCUUGAAAUGAAUCCAUAAUUACAAGAAGUUCUUUGUUGUAGAUCUCAUAGUUAAUCUCAGUUGCUGAAAAUUUCCUGAAAUGGAAAGCUACUACAUAGAGUUUGUGAUCUAUUCCCAUUUGUGACAAUACUACAUCCAAGACAAAGUCUGAUGCAUCUGUUUUUGUAAAGAAUACCUUAGAAAAGUUGAUGCGAUACAAAGUUAAUGCAGAAAUAAGUUCUUUCUUUAAAGUGAUAAAUAGUAUUUUGGCUUCUUUAUUCCAUUUGAGUUUGUCUUCAGAAGUCAAAUGUGUAAGUGGAGCUGCAACUUGAGAAAAGUUUUUGAUGAAGAUUUGGUAGUAAUUAACAAAGUCCAAAAAGUAUUGCAUAUCUUGUAUUGUUCUUGGAAUCUUUCAAUCUAUAAUAGUUUGGACCUUCUUAAGAUCCAUCAUAAGACCUUUGUUCAAAAUGAUGUAUCCUAAAAAAUCAACUUGAAUAGUAUGGAAUACACACUUUUUCAACUUGGCAUAUAAUCUUGCAUUUUUAAGUUUUUGUAAUACGUGACUAACAUGAAGUUUAUAUUCUUUUAUGUUCUUAGAAUAAAUUAGAAUUUUGUCUAAAUAAAAAAUAAUAAAAUCAUCCACUAUUGAUAUCAUUGUAGAUUUUGGUAUAGAUCUUUACUUGAUUGAAUUGGUCAAGAAGUCUUGAAAUGAGUGACAAAGAAUACCUAUUUUUGAUGGUAAUCUUAUUCAGUCCUCAAUAAUCCAUACACAUCUAUAGAGAUCUAUCUUUCUUCUUCACAACUAAGAUAGGAGCUCUGGCUCGACGUUUAAAAUGGCAUAUAAAGUUCUUUGCCAAGUUUAUAUCAAUAUACUCCUUUAAUGUAACCAACUCAUUCUGUAAUAAACUAUAGAUUAGUCCAAAUGGUAGUUGAGUUCCUUCUUGCAAAUCAAUUAAACAAUCAUAAGAUGGAUGCUUUGGAAGAAUAUCUGUAUUCUUCUUUUCAAAAACGUCUUGGAAUUCUUAACAUUGGCUAGGAAUAUCACUUGACAUUUUGGAUAUAGUAUAUAUAGCAAAAGAUGAUCCUUCUUUUAUAACAUGCAUGAAAGCUCUUGUACCUACUAGUAAAGAUUUGGAUAUACUAGACUUAUGUACUUCUAUUUCACUAACCCAAUCCUAGAUCAUACUACCAAAAAAGUUAAAAUUAUGAGAAAUCUUAUCUAUUUGAGGAUUAUAUUUUUCUAGCCAUGAUAAACUUAAAAUAAUUGAAUUAGAUAGAAAUCUUAUUAUAUUAAAUAUUACUAUGUUAUAAUGAUCUUUAAUUACUACAUCUAUAGGAACAGUCUCAUGGAUAAUAUUUUGAGAAGACAAUGAAUAACCAUCUAUAACUUCUACAUGUAUGGAUUUAGUUUUCUUGACUAAAGGUAUUUUUUAAUUUUUGACAAAAUCUUUGUCUAUAAAAUAGGCUGAGGCUCUUGAAUAUAAUAAAGCAAAGACUUUAAGAUUUUUAGGUCCUAAAUACACAUCUAUUGUAAAACAAGAUGAGGGGUCUAAUGAGAGAAUAGGACCUUAAUUAGGUGUUGCACAUGAUUCUACUUGUACAGUCUCUAUUAUAGUUGGAAAAACUUAUUUUUUGAUACAUUAUCUUCUUUGGUAAUUGUGCUUCUCAUUUUAUAAUUACAUUGCUUCUUUUGAUAAUAUUAAGCAGUGUGCUUAGCUUCUCUAUAAUAUAAACACAAAUCCUCUUGGCAAUGUCAAGUCUUUUCCUGCUACAAGAGAGAUUUAAAACUUAUCAUAUCAAUUUGCAUUGGUUCUAGCCUUAAUGAAUAUGUUUUAAAAAACUUGAGAGUUGCCACUAUUACUUGACUUAUUCCUCUCUAGCCAAGUCUUUGUUCUUGACACCUUUAAAAUAAUUGAUUGUUGCAUACAAUGGCUUGAGCAAUAAAUUAUUCGAAAGAUUUUUCUUUCAACAUUGUUAAUAACAAAACUUUGAUGCUAUCCUUUAACUUAUAUCAAAAUUGAUUGAUUAGUGCUUUGUCAUUCCAGUCUAUGUUGCAAGCAAGGUUUUGGAAUUUAGCAGCAUAUAAGAUGGCUAUUUGCGAUCCUUAUCAUAAAGAUAAGAGUUUGGUCUCUAUUACUCAUUCUCAAUCAUUUUUUUUGAAUGUAGCCAUAAAUAAUUUUAAGAAUGAAUUUAAAUCAUAAAGAAGUCGUGAAUUAUUUUCUAUCAAAGAUGCAAAUAAAAAAAAAGUACUUUCAAAUAGAAAUGGGCUUAUGAAGCUGACUUGAAUAAAUCCAUGUGCAUAUUGGAAAGGAUAUAACCUUAAGUAGAGCUUAAUUUCUUAUAAAAACCCUCAAAAUUUUAAUCUUGUUCCAUCAAAAUUCUUGAACAUAUUAAUUCUUGCCUCUCUUGAGCUUGUAGAAGUAAGACCCCUUGAAUUUGGUUACGAGGCUGAUCAACUUGUUUCUCUUAACUGCACAACUUCUUGACGUAGACUUUGAACUUUUUUCAUAGGUAUAGAAGUAGUGCUCCCAUAGUUGACAUUGGUGAUGCAUAAAAUUUUUGUCCUAAGAGUGCUAACAAACUUGUAAAGAUCCACAAUAGUUACAAAUCUAUUCUCACUUCCACCAGGAAUAGCAUCCAUAAUCUUUCCUUCCAUAGACAAUUCAAACAAAUCCAAAAAGUUAAAUUAGAGGAGGAUAAUCUACAACCUCUAAUAAAAAUUUCCUCAAAGAAGGAUAAUCCACUCUCGUUAAGGAAAAGAUUGGUAUUAGAAAGUAAGAUUUUUUAUUUAAAGAUAGAUAGUCUGUAACCUUCAAAAUACAACAAUAGAAGUGAGGUGAUCUACUCACUUCUAAAACAAGAAAGAAAUAGUAUAUUAACACUCUUGUUAAACUGUCAAGGAUGUAAAACUUGAAGAAAGAAAAUCCUCAAUAUACUCUUGUGUCAUUGAAGAGAACUAAAAAGUCACUCAAAAGAUGAUGUAAUAUUAAACUACAAUGGCUAUUGCUAAAAACAAAAAGACUAAAAAGUCUUAAAAUAAGACUAAGGACUAAAAAAGCAUUGACAAGAGUGAAGAAGACUUUACUCUUAACUAAGAGCUACAUGGCGAUGUCCUAUAGGACCUUCAAAACGUGUUGACUUUGCUAGCCACAUGUCUUAACUUGUAAGGCAAGUUUUCUAUGUAUGCGCCACAAGCUACUAUACGGAAUUAACUUGUUCCACAAGCUAUCAAUACAAGGUUAACUUGUUCACCAUAUUUCUAACCUAUAAACACAUCUAAAGUCAAAUCUGCAUCUAUGAAGCUUUUAGGAAGCUUUUCUAAAAGACUUCAUGAAAUUAAUCUAUAUUUUCCUAUUUCUACUUAAUCGUAUAAGUAAUUAUUGGGAUAAAUGUAUAUGGUCGUGACAAUUUAGUAUGUUCCUUUAUCAAACUCCUUAUGUAUUAUCUAUCAUCACCAACUUAAAGCUCCAUAAUUGUAAUUCUAUGAAAAUGCUACUCCUACAAAACCUACAGUUCAAAAAAGAUAUAAUAUUAUUACCUACCAAUUCUCACUUAUAUCAAAAAAAUUGUUGAAAAUUUUAAUUUUUUUUACAAAUAUCAAAUGGAAUAUUGCUUUUGUUAUCAAUUUGGUAUCUCACUUCACCAAAAGACCGCAAAUUGUUCAUUUGCAAAUAAUAAAGUCAAUUGUAUAAUAUAUCAAGGACAUUCUUGAUUAUAGACUAUUUUAUUGACAAGCCAUCACAUUUGAUCUUCACUAUCAAAUGACCAAAGGGCUAUAAAAAUAUCUCAUAAUCCCAUAUUUUAUUCCAAGAUAGAGUAUUUUGAAAUAUAUUUGUAUUUUUUGAGAGACAUAAUUGAAAAAAAUCAAGUUCAAAUAAUUUGUAUUCCUAUAGAUCAACAAUCACAGGAUGUAUUGACAAAAGCAUUAGAAAAAACGAAGUUUAAAAAUAGAUUCAAAUUUCUAAAAUCUUUGAGAUUAAUCUAUUAGAUACUUCUUAAAAAACUUUAAGCCUCAAACAAUGAGCAAAAGCUCUUAAUCAUCGUUCUUCUAAAACCAAUGACUUGAUUGAUACAAAGAUAUCAAGAAUAGUAGAUAUCUAGCUCACAACCUAUUCUAAUAGCACACUACUCUAAAACCCCUUAACUUUGUACUUGGAAUAAUAUAGUACAAACUUUGUACUUGGAAUAGUAACUCCAAAUAAUUGUCUGUUGAGAAGCCUGUUGUAUAUGGGAAUGGUAUAAACUCUUAAGUAUAAAACUUGGCCAAAACAUCUGGUCAAGGAGCUGUUGCAUAGGCCUCACACAGGUGCUAUUCAAGUAAGAUCUCAUUUCAUCAAACCACACACAUGACUGACUAUCAAGGUUAUUUUGGUCACGUUAUUCUGGAAAUCAGUUGUUAAGCAACUCUUCCAGAAUAUGAGUGUGCUAGCCUCCUUCAUUUUAAUCCAAAAGUUAAUUGCAACUUUAAAGGAUUUGUCAUUCAUUGUGAAUAUUCUGCAGGGGAUGUUGGAGAGAGAUACCCUGGCUAGUCAAGAUACUCGCCGUUCCAAUACCUUCAUGCUCAAAAAUUGCUCGACUGUUCUCAGAUUAUGAAUGUGACUGGAGGCGGCUGACGUACUGUUGAAUGAAGUUGUGGAGGUAAAAUCGCAUAUUUCCCUCUCUUGACAAAUACGAUACGAAUGGCAAGAGAAGAAAAUUGCGCCACCAGUAUUCAGAUUCGUUAACCUGAAACAAUGCAUACCAAGAUUAGACACAGGAUGUGCGUGGAAUUCAUAACAACACCAUUGUGGACCCGAUAGAAGUGAAUGUAGAGCCCCGACCCCAAAGCACCCUCGAGCCGCAGGUCAAAUCUCAACGACUAAAUGCUGGGCCGAUCCCCUACAAUUUUACCAAAACAAUCAACGCCACCGUACUACCCGGAUACCCAAUGGACGAGAUUAUGACAUUUUUGGCGACGUUCCAAACGGUGCUCUGCAGCACUCUCAUCGCUACGGAAAUGCUGCAUCAGGGGUUGUGGGUCUGAUACGCACGAUCUUGUGACUUCUGAACGCGGUUUGCUGCAGACGUACAUGAUACUUCAGGGAAUAUUUUCAGUUGUGCUAUUACUACUCGUUACUAUACGUCAGCAUCGCACCAUAACAGCUCCGAUUGGUAUCACUCUCACAUCCACUUCAGCCAAUGAGUCCGGCAAUUCAUUUGGGGUGUUGGGCAUUACGCUUGAAACGACUCACUCUUCAACAGUGUGUCUGUGCUGCGACAAUACCCAACGUUGAAGGCCUACAAAUUCACUUCAAGCGAGAGUAUAAAAUGUCGAAAAUUCCAAGAGACACCGUAAGCAAAGUCGUCAACAAGGUUGAAAUUAAAUCAUAAAAAAUAUAACUAACGACAAAAUGAGGAACCAAAAUUCUGCCAAUUGGAGCAGAUUUAAAUUCCAACCUCAUCAAUAGUUUGUGAAAAACUGCUGACAGCAGAGACGCCUAUCACCAAUCUGCGAAUGGGCAUCAUUGCGACUGCGGAGCCCCAACGAAACAGAAAUGAUUACUCACUAUUCCUGGUCAGAAUGUGCUAGUGGGAUUGUUUCAAAAUCGAGGCACUAGCAAAACAAUUGCUGACAAUAUUGUGGUGCCUCGUUUCUGCUAUGAUUCUAAACCAGCAUCUAAUCACGAUGCAGAUAUUUGAUAUACCUACUCUAUAAGACUGCUAUCUUCACUGUGACAUCAACCCAUAAUUUCUUGCAACGACCAUCAAGAUUUCUAAAAGAAAUGCCAUUUAUCAGCCAGACUAGAGACUACGAAUAGAGAUGACAUGCCCCUCUACACAGUGUACGACUGUUGAAUCAUAUCGACGUCGAGAUUCUUCAGACGAACCACCGAUUCUACAUGUCCCUUCAAAGUGUUUAACUCACGCAGCCUGCAGCGUGAAAACUCAACAUCAGUGAUCAUUUCUGAGACGAAAAAUAAGUCUAUGUCCUUGAAGGCAAGAUAUAGAACCAUAUGCUGAAGAUGCAUGAGUUCAGGUCUACAAUCAAAUGGAUAACAUCGAAGAUCCAAAGAAGAUUACAAAACACAAAUAAUAAAAUAUAGAAGAUAAUUCAUAUGCACCUUGCAAUUUCAGCCCUCCUCUUAGCCUGCUCUGCCAUGAAUCCAAGUUCUUUGUUACCGCUAGUGGUGGCAGCGGCAUCAUCCUUAGAUUGGGGAGGAUGCAGUCCAUGCAAUGUCCGCUGAGCAUGAGCCCAUUGGGCUUCACGUGCCUCUUUUCCGAAGUCCUUCUGGGUUGUGAAAGCAGUCUGUACAAUCCACCAAUUAGAUCAAGGUUAGCUGUUGCAGCUCUCACACGACAAGCUUCGAAAAAAAUAUUUCUAUCGAACAGAUCUAUUUGUAGCAAGAACGUCCCGAGCACAAGUUAUACCUUGCGGUUAAUCAAAUUAUUCCAAGCCUUUCCACUUUGAAUGUAUCGAACAGUAAACUUCAAAAUAUCCAGAGGAAUGUAAGUGACGAUGCUGAAUAGCCAGACGAUUCCGGCCCAGCCCCACCCACAACCUUGAAUGUGAGCAAAUCCCCAAUUAGCAUACACUGCAAUGAACGUCGCAAUCUGUGGAAAAGACAGAUUAAUGUAAGCAUCGACUUCAUUCAUUCAUGUUCUAGAAGUCUCACGAAACCUUACAACUAGUCUGCUACACAAGUAAGGCGCAAAACGAGAUCACACAACCCAACGAUUGAAAGGAGAGUAGCGAGUUCAAUGUAACUGAAGCAUAUGUAUCGAGUUGUUGAAGCUGAAAUGAUGACGAAAAACACUUACCAGCUGAGCAGACAGAAAUGCGAACAUCAGGAGGGCUCCUGGUCUCUCAACGAAUGACCAGCUCUGGGAACGAGUGACAAAAAUAAGAGCUUGACUAAUAAUGCUGACUUGCAGAUAGAUGGCCGCAGUCAUCUCGCCGUGGCUAUUGCCAAUGUUUCUAACCCCAAAGCGGUCCUGCGCGACAUGCAAAUUCAUCAGCUGCUGGCAUUUGUAGAAACAUAAAAACUGCAUCUGGAACCAAAAAAUAACAUUUAUUGUCCACAGCCUGUGGGUGACAAACGUAACCACUGUAUACAUGAUAACUCGUUCAAAAUAAUCUCUUGAUAAUUUAAACUCAUGAACAGGGCAAAGCUAGUUACAACCUACAUCAACCACAUCUUAGACAUCUGCGAAGAAACCUUAGGGGUUAAGAUCCUACAACGCACCAAUCACCAAUCGCCGACAUUCAAGUUAUGAUGCAUGGAAAUGAGAUCCUGUACCGGGAAAAAUGUAGUCUCGUGCAUGAUCCAGAAGAACAGAACCGUCAUCAGGGCCAUGUAGGUGCCGAGUACGACACCGAUGGAGAAAAUUUCUCGCAACUUCCAGCUGUCUGGCAGAGGAGAUGGCUUAACGCGAUCCUUGGCGAUGGUCAUAAUAGUACCUGUCCCACACAAACAUGAAAUAGCUAUUACUCACUUGACUACUCCGUUUACACACCGGAUGAAAUGAUGAAAUUUUGAUGCUGAAACUAGAUAAUGCCUGAAGGGUUGCCCCGAACCAUGAUUACGAGGUCAUAAUAUACAUCAGAGGACCCAAUGCGAUCCUCAAACUGAACUGAAUUCGUAAAGAAAGAGCAAAAAUGCACACAUACCGUCAUUAAGAAUAGCAAUAACAAGGACCAUGAAUGGUGAAAAGUCAAACUGCCAGAUUAAGGCCAAAAGCAUAAACCCAAGCUGCAAACGAAAAUACGCUAUCAGGCCACAUUAUUAUCACACGAAAACAAUGUCAUUUAUAACAUCUACAACAAACACACCACCACAAGAAAAUUCUGUAACUCAGAGAAAGGGUUUAGCAGCAAUCUGAACAGUUUGAGUAGCGCAAAAAUAAUAUUUACCACUAUACGAAUGGUGAUGGAAACAGCAUAGAUCUGCAGACCCACCAUGACAGAGAAAUAUAUCGUUAAAUGUUGUGAGAAGGGUACAUGCAUGCCGCAGUGUAGGAGGAGAUAAUAUCGGACUUACAAAGUUCUACCAAUUCAUUGCGGAACAGUAUGGAAUGCAUUCAAUACAAGGGAAAUGAGCCAAAGGAAAAGCGGCAUUUAAAAAGCACAGAUAUCUGGUCUCAUCACACACACCGUGUAGUUCUUCAUACGCUGGAAAAUGGCUCGACUGGUCAACACAGCACUAAUAAUGACACUGAGCCCAGGUUCUGUUAGCACGAUAUCAGAAGCACUGCGAGCAGCAUCAGUAGCAUCUGCAACAGCAAUACCAAUGUCGGCCUUCUUCAAAGCAGGAGCAUCAUUCACACCAUCGCCGGUCAUACCAACAAUGUGCUUUUUAUCCUGCAACUUCUUGACGAUUUCAUACUUGUGCUCUGGAAACACCCCUGCAAAUCCAUCCGCCUUCUCAAUCAACUCGUCCACAGGUAAAGCGGCAAUCGCUUCAUCCUUGUGUGCUCCUAGUAGAGAGGACGAUGGAUACAUGUUGGUCCCCAUGCCCAGCCUUCGGCCUGUCUCCUUUCCAAUAGCCAGCUGAUCACCUGAAACAAAUUGCUACGUAUUAGCAAACUGUAGCAGGUUACACACAUGGUUACUGUGCACUGGAAACCCGGAUGCUAAAGAUAUAUAUACUUCAGUCUUGAAGAGCAAUGUACCUGUAAUCAUCUUCACACUAACUCCCAAGUUAAGGGCCCGACGAAUGGUCUCAGCACUAUCAUGUCGGGGUGGGUCAAAAAGAGGCAACAAACCAAGGAACUCCCAGGGGCCACCGGCGCCAUCCUUGGAGCGUUCAGGAACUUCCUGUAUUCAAAAACAAGUCUAAUAGAUUUAGAACGUUUUCUCAACCCAAAGCAAUAUUACUGAGCGAAUAAAAUCAAAUUUUAACGUAAAAACCGUAGUUUGGACUCGCAGAACGAAAGAGGAUGUGCAAGGUAUAUUAGGACGACGCCACAUCCUCACCAAAGCAUUCCGUUAGGGCAAUAUUCCAUUAUUUGGAGUCUGCUAAGAAAUAGUGAUCGCAUUAGUUGGCUUUUGUCUGUACUUGCCUGUCUAGCUACAGCCAACGAACGCAACCCCCGUUCAGCAAACUUGUCUAUAAUCGAGUGCACUCGUGCAGCAAUCUCGGUUUUGUUGUGAGCCAGUUCCAGAAUCUGCUCGGGAGCUCCCUUGCUAGAUCGAUACCACUUGCCAUCGACACUAUCAAUGUAUGUAAUAGCGGUACGCUUGUCAACAGGAUUGAAAGGAAGGAAGUGUACUUCUUGAAUACCAGCACGUGCCUGCAAAAGUAACAAAAAGUGCUCAUGCAUUAUCCAUAUAUAAUGCUCAACUUCAACAAAUCAUAGAAACCACAUCAUAAGCAUGACGGAAAAGAGGACAUAAACUAAAUCCUAGCUGAUCCUAGAUAGGGUUCUUACCUCUUUCGGAUCAGCUAACACUCCAACGAUGCAUGUAUCAAUGGCGUCUUGAUUCUCUAUCCUGGAAGCUCGAGCAGCCAUUAAGCACACCAUAUCCUUGUCAACACCUUUCAUAAAUGUCUCUACAAGGUUCUUGUCAACAGUCAAUUUGUUGAGGGUUAGGGUUCCCGUCUUGUCACUGCACAACACAUCCAUACCUGCCAUCUCUUCGAUAGCAGUCAUACGUUUCGUGAUGGCACCCUGCACGAUUCAUGUUCAGCACAAAAUAUGAAUUAGCAUCACAAGGGCUUGCCAUCACAUCAAAUUCAACUUACAACCUUCCAUUAUUAUAAGAUCUGCGGAAAUAAAAGGAACAGCCCCAGUCACCGAUAGUCUUUUUAUAAAUACCUGUUGUGAAAGACGGUGAGAACCAAUAGCCAUUGUCACUGAAAGCACGGUAGGCAUCGCAAUUGGAAUGCCUCCAAUGAGCAACACCAAAAGGUUAUCAAUACCAUCUCUGUAGCCACGCUUCUGGAUAGGCCACAUCACAAUGAUCUCAAUAACGAUUCCAAUCGCAAUGGACACGAUGCAGAAGUUUCCAAUAGAAGUCAACACCUUCUGGAAAUGGCCCACGUUGUUGGUGGAGUCUACCAAAUGCGCAGCCUUGCCAAAGAAAGUAUGGACACCAGUAGCAAUAACAACGGCCUCAAUCUCUCCUUGUUUGCAGGUGGAUCCUGAAAAUACUUCAUCUCCGGGCUUCUUGGUAGCAGGGAGUGACUCUCCCGUCAAAGCUGACUGCGACGGAAACAACCAAUACUGUUAGAAGUGCUCAAGCCUCCGCAAAGACAAAUCGGUAGCCUCACUUCAGCUCAGAUUAAUUUAAUGAUUGAGGGCAAGACACCCAGCGUAGUAGAUUGCCCUAGCAUGAAUUUGUAUCGAACGAUACCUGGUCGAUUUUCAACGGGUCACCUUCAAGGAGUCGUGCAUCUGCAGGGACGAUAUCACCUAGCUUGAUACUGAUGAUAUCACCAGGAACCAAAAUAGCUGCAUCACGUUCAGCCCAGGCGCCAUCACGCAACACCUGUACAGUGAUGAUUCGGGGAUCUACAGCUGAGAGAGUACAUCGCCGAAACGUGCAAAAGAUGUUGUGUAGUACACUUCCAUUUAAUUAAUGUGUUAAGACUAUCAAGCCGCAAUCAUACCACGAUUCCGAGCAACAUCUUCUACAUAGAAAGAUUCACUUGCUAUACACUUUAGUGAAGAGCUACAAAGUCUUGAGAGCCACCUUCGUUUGAGGAGCGAGUCGUGCCAUGAGAGAAGCAGCUGCCUGGCCAGCGUUAUUCUCUUCAAUAAAACUAAUGGUCGAAUUGAUGAUCAACAACACAAUGAUUCCCACAAAAUCUUGCCAAUCAGGUGGCCGUCCCUGCAAAAAUCCCUGUUCGUCAGAAAUCGAAAAAUAACGCACCAACAGGCAUUCUCCGCCUGCAAAGCAAGACCUGCCUUGCUGAUAUUGUAAAACAAAAAUGACUUGCGACUUUAAAUGUGAGAUCUUACCCCUCCGUUCGCAAGAGCGAUGGCCAUGAUAGCAGCAGCCUCCAUAACCCACGAUAAAGGGUUCCACAUAAACCCCAAGAAUUUGAGAAUUUUACUUUCCUGGAGAACCGAGCAUGCAAAAAUUGGUGGACGGCCAUGUGCAGAAUCCCUCAAGUGUAGAGGAAGAAGAAGAAGAAGAACUUACACCACUGGAAAGAACGAGGCUGCUUACGACACGAACUGCAAACCACUUAAAAAGAUCCCAAACAAUGUCAAGAGUUGAAAUAAUACGCACCGAUUUCUCUUCGAGCUUGUUAGGGCCACAGAUCUUAAUUCGCUGUUCCCCCUCCGCAUCGGUCAAACCCUGUCUUGUACACCUCAAUUGCUCAAAUACCUCCUCAACCGGAAUGUGUUCCUGCGUUCAACAACAGCAACUCGAUUACUGUAUACUUUGAUACCAUGCCCUGGCAGUGUUGGUUCAUUACUCUUUAGCUAUGCUGCAAUGGGUCGUUACUGCAUACCCACUUUUACUUCCACGAGUUCAUAUUAAGAUUCUUUUCCAGAACAUGUAUAAUUGCAUGAAAUUCAUAUUAAUUGAGACGUACAAGCGUAUCUCAACCCGUAUUUCGUCUCAUUACCAUGUACUGCUAAAAUAAACAAGAGUAAGUGGUUUACUGUUACUUGCUGAACAAAUGUAACACAAAACUCGAAAGUUCGCUCUCGAAAGUUGAAAUUUUUUGUCAUCUGACAUAUUUCUUCAAAAAAGAGGACCUUGUGGGUUAUUUGCAACGUUCUUCUAGAAAGCUACAAUCGAACAAGUUCAGUUGGCCUGGUAUAUCCAUCACCUAAGCACUUCAAGAAUGCACAAGCUACCGGGACAUUACAAAUGAGUGAACAUUCUGACAGACAGGGCUCUCUGUACGAGCAUUCCCAAAGAGAAUCACAGCCAUUAUCCGUGGAAGCUGAAAGCAGCUCCUCAUGUUGUAUUCCUACGCAAAUUUGGAUAACUCCCUUCACGAGUCACCAAGGUACUUAUUCAAUACUUAACGUGGCGCAAUUGAAUGAUAACUACGCAACCAUAAGGAGAUCUCCGAAACGAAGCACAAGAUGACUUGAACUCUCGGAGAACCGAUCUACACCCGCGUGUAGGUAAUACACUCCCAGGAGAGGAUCCAGUGGUAGGGUGAAAGGAAUCAGUGCUUCCUCCGACUGUCUCGAAACUGAAGCGCACUACAAUUCGGACCAGCUUCACAAGGUCGCGACCCUCGCAAACCAAAGCAGCACUUCGCAAGUAAUCAAUGCUACAUUCGUAGUGCUACAGAAUCGUAAGUUUCUUUGAAACGGCAAUCAUUCAUCACUCGUUUGCUGGCCGUCAAGCCUGCAACCCGACAACGAGCCGCGCGCGACAGAGGUAAGCGCGAACUCACCAGGUCCACAGUCUCGUUGUUGAGCGCCUGAAGCGCCUCCAUGUUGUUCCCCUUGUCGCCAUCAACAAGCGUGUUGUCAUUGUGAGUCUGAGCCAUCUUCCCUGCAGCAGCACGAGCUGCGGUAGAAGGCAAGCGAUCCAAGAAAGGCACGGCAACGCACCUCAAGACUCACUAACUCAAAGCAUGGACACAGACACAAAGAAACUGCGUCACCACAUUGACACAACACGAGCGGCAGGAAAUGGAAUGACGAUGGCUACUCCUCUCCAAGCGCUCUCAUCAAUCAGAGCUUGAAAGGAGCAGGCAAAGUCUCCGCGCAGCACGAGAUGCAUUAAUACCCCACCUACAGGGACGCAGCGUAAAGGAGCGAGAAGCCCGGGAGGAGUCUCGUCUCGUCUGGUCUCGGCCCGUCCCGUUACGAAGGCGACCCGCCGUGAUUUGCCGGAGACUCCAGGCACCUCCGGAGCGUCGCCAUGACACUGGGACCCCCUCCCGCAGAGCAGCGCAGCGAGCGCAUCGCGUGCAGGGAACACCGGCCAGGCCGGGGAGGGGGAGCGCGGGGGUGGAAGGCUCGCCAGGCCAGCGAGCGAGGCAUUAAUUUUGGGGUAAGGCACCAAAAUUGAUCUCAGUAUCAACAGUAACAGUUUUGCUAUUAUUAGCCCCACGAGGGCCCCACUCGUUUCCGUCCAGCUUCUGUAGAUUUAGUAACCUCUCCUGCACUCCCCCCUUUGUGGGGCCCCUCCCUCAGUGGCCACCCCUCCGCUGCUGCUAGAGCCCCCCCCCCCCUGCGCCCCCUUGCCUGCCCUUUCUUUAGCACCCGCCCUUGCCCGGCCCGGCCCCGGUUGUCCAAGGGCCCCUCCUCUUCUCCCUGCCUCGCACCCCUGAUGUCCCUCCCACAUCGUCCUGAACAAUCAAGCGUGGGUCCAGAGUCCAUUGCAGAGGCCCUGCCUCAAGUCCCACGCUCUCUCUUCCUCGCUGCUUCGGCCUCCUAUGUUAACCAUAGGGAAGCAAGGUGCUGCCCUCAAAGAAGUCAAUGAUUGCAACAAACAUAACUGCCGUGUGUAUCUGUCAAGCGGGCGAUGGAUCCUCAGCCUCCUUUUGUAUUCAUACACUCUCUUCCAGCACAGUAAAAUCAUGGAAAGCAAGCAGAGCAGUGGAUUCAUGAGAGUGCAGUGCUGCAGAAACCAAUCUGCUUUAAUUGAAGCCGGAUCCCCAGGUUGACAAUAGCAGCCAGCCCCCUUUCUGCAGCAUUGACCCUGCCUCCCUCCCCGCCUGUGUCUAUAUGAUUCAUGGAGUCAUGUCCAAGGGUGUGCUGCCAACCCCUCUUCAUCCUAGUCUUCACCAAUGCUUCUACUGCAGCUAUACUACCACAGCCUUGCUUUUCAUGAUUGAGGCAACAGAGAGAGAUGCAUCCCAGUUCAGGUAAAGAUCUCUCUCUAUCUCUCUCUCUCCCCCCCCCCCCCCCCUGUGCCCAGGGUCUCAGCCCUGCCCAUCCCUCACCCUCCACUUCCAGUACAUAUUCCAAUCCUUGGGAUAAUUCUGCUUGAAAUAACAUAUCCUCCUCCACAGAGUUAACUUAGUUACAGAAAUAAAUCAUCAAACCAAGUACAACAGAACAUUGUACCCUUUCAAGACAUAGGUACAAACUUUGAAGAAUCCAAGGAUUCAUUGUACUUCAUGCCACAGCACCUUCCACCCCAUGUGUUUUGAUUCAUGAUUCUAGUUGUAGUGUACGUUUUGGAAGGCAAUGAAAAGGUGAGUUGAAGAUGCAUACAAAAGCACUAUGCUCCUCUUCUUGGCAUCUUCUUUUGUUUUUGACAUGGCAGAAUGUUUUGCUUGAAUACUUGCAAAGUGAAGCAUGGAUGCUCCAAAGUAAAUAAUGACUUCAAAAUAUACCUGAACCUAAAUUUUUUCUAUUCUAAUUUGGAAUUUUCUCAUGUGUAAUUUUGGCUAAUUAAAUAAAUAAGAUAAUAUAAACUUAUUCCAUGUGUGAUUUUUAUAUUAUUCUAUUUAUAUGUGAUUUUGAAUAAAUAUUUUUUUUAUAUUAUUUCAUGUGUGAAUUUGAAUAAUUAAUAAUCAGUUAUAAGAACUGAAGUAAUAGCUCAAAUUGAAAAGAAGAAUACCAAAGAAGAACUGUUAAUAUUUUAGAAUCUAAAAAUGAAUAAAAGUUAGUGUUAUAAUAUAAGGUUAUACAUUCUAAAUGACAUAUGUCAUAAUAUAUGUACAUGUAUGUGUAUAUAUAUUUAUUUAUUUAUUUAGAUAGAUAGAUAGAAAGAUAGGUAGGUAUAUUCAGAAUAGAAUCACAUAUCUGUGGUAUAUAAAUAAAAAUUGAGACAAUCGUUUUAUAUAAAAUCAGACAAAUUCUUAAGAUAUAAAUGAAUAAGAAAAAUAAUAAUGAAAAAAACAUAUUAAAAAUUAUGAUUCAAAAUACAUAAAUAUUAUCUAAAACUGGCUUCUAUAACUAAAUAAGACAUAGAAUUACAUGGAGUUUAUUCACAAAUCUUUUAUUCAAAACAUUGUUGCAAAAUGGUAGAUUAAAUUCUGAUACUACCUUAUCAACUUUUGAAGUAUUUUAAUUUAGAAAACAUUUCCUUUUGACAUCAAGAUGUUGAUAUAUGCUAUAUUUGAGUUAUACACAAGUUUAAUGAGAUGAUGGUGAUACUUCAAACUAACAAAUCUAAAUCAUACUUGGUGCUAUAUUUUUUUUUUUUUAUACUUUAGGUACAAUUUUAAAAAUCGUCUUUUCAUAUUCCUGAAUAAUAUCAGAUUAUUUUUUUUGAAUGUUCAUCAAUUUUUAUUUAAAUAACAGUGUAUUCAGAAAUAUUCCUAAAUUACAUCUUUUUAGAUCCUACUUAAAAAAACAUUUGGGUGUUCCAACCCAAAGCACCCUUGGUACAAAUUAGACAUCCUGUGUACUUGUUUAAAAUAAAAAUUCACUAAUAUGUAUAAUAGAUAUGUUACAGUUUUAUAAACCUUGAGAAAUUCAACAUCUGUAAUUCUUGAAAACAAUCACCAAGUGAAGAAAGCACCAAUAGUUCAGAGUUGUUCAAUGUUAGUGACUAAUGCAGAUUGAACAAAUGGGUUGAUUGAUUGACAUCCCUAGUGCUGAAAGUAAGACUCAAAGCAGCAGAUGGAAAAGAAGAAGUGAGCAAGCUAGUCUCAGUGUGAUCAAAAUAGAUUUCUUUAGAAAGUGAGAGACCUUGCUGCACAAGUGUGGAAGACAAGGAACAAAACUGAUGCAGUGCAUGAGGAUGAUGCAGACCAAACUCUCAUCAUCUACAUGCACUGAGUUACAAGAAGAAAACAUGUGUUUCAAGUCUUUGGAGCCCAUGUUUUUCUAGGACUGGGCUCAUUCACCGGACACACCUGCUCCUCUCGAAACACGGCUGGUUGUUCUCUACACAAAUUCUGUUUUUAAUAUCUAGUUACGAGUUGUUGCAAUGGUCCAAUAUCUAUCCAUGAUGAUGGUAUUGUCUUUUUCACCCCAUUGUCCUCCUCUUCCUAUUUCUUCUCCAAUCUACAUGAUAUGGCUGAGAUUGCACCACAUUAGUCAACACAAGCUCCGGCCAUUCUCAUUGCUAAGCUUUUUAUGGCGACAGUAAACAGAAUUACUAAAACUAGGCCAAGACUGAAUUAGACUCUUAGCACAUUUGCUUCUGGUGCUUUAG
RNAcentral lists this long non-coding RNA (28942 nucleotides) under Physcomitrium patens. RNAcentral describes it as "long non-coding RNA (PPAT_LNC001824)". Lineage: Eukaryota; Viridiplantae; Streptophyta; Bryopsida; Funariales; Funariaceae. The record is from RNAcentral.